RNAcentral lists this non-coding RNA (184 nucleotides) under Desulfovibrio sp. RNAcentral's name for it is "6S RNA". It matches the Rfam family "6S / SsrS RNA". From Rfam's summary of the family: E. coli 6S RNA was the first non coding RNA to be sequenced, but its function was unknown until recently. Lineage: Bacteria; Pseudomonadati; Thermodesulfobacteriota; Desulfovibrionia; Desulfovibrionales; Desulfovibrionaceae. The record is from RNAcentral.
AAAUCCCUGAGGAGUGCGUGAUUCACGUCGCAGUGCCGACCGAUCAAGCUUUAAAAAACGGGAGCUGGUGCUUGAUCCCCAUGUGCAUGCCCGGCAAUACGGGAAGCCUGACGGGUUCAAACUGGCGCCCACCCUGGGAAACCGGGUUCUCCACAGCAACUGGACACGGCUCCUUGGGGAUUUG